This 80-nucleotide transfer RNA is filed under the name Bartonella ancashensis. RNAcentral describes it as "tRNA-Leu". It matches the Rfam family "tRNA". From Rfam's summary of the family: Transfer RNA (tRNA) molecules are approximately 80 nucleotides in length. Their secondary structure includes four short double-helical elements and three loops (D, anti-codon, and T loops). Further hydrogen bonds mediate the characteristic L-shaped molecular structure. tRNAs have two regions of fundamental functional importance: the anti-codon, which is responsible for specific mRNA codon recognition, and the 3' end, to which the tRNAs corresponding amino acid is attached (by aminoacyl-tRNA synthetases). tRNAs cope with the degeneracy of the genetic code in two manners: having more than one tRNA (with a specific anti-codon) for a particular amino acid; and 'wobble' base-pairing, i.e. permitting non-standard base-pairing at the 3rd anti-codon position. The record is from RNAcentral. Lineage: Bacteria; Pseudomonadati; Pseudomonadota; Alphaproteobacteria; Hyphomicrobiales; Bartonellaceae.
GCGGAUGUGGCGAAAUUGGUAGACGCACCAGAUUUAGGUUCUGGCGGGAAACCGUGGGGGUUCGACUCCCUCCAUCCGCA